CCAUGUGCCAAAACCAAGCGAAUACACGUCGAUUCUCCUCUACGCGCGCUACAAUUCCACCGUUUUCGAACUUACUUUAAAGCCCUUAAUUCGCGGAAAAUCCAGUCAAAUUUUGCUUCCAGCUGUCUAAGCUGAUGUAUUUUAUCAGUUUUCGCGGUUUUCAUCCGGUAUAAACUCUAAAAAACCAGUGUCGAACUUUCGACGGUAUUACCUGUGGAAUUCUGUCGAAAAUUCCACAUCCACUUUAAUCAUCACCAAACAGUCAGAAAAACGCCUAGUUUCGUGAUUAAAAGCGUAGGUUGAGUUGGAUCGAACCUUUAUUUCAUUAAAUCUUGAUUAUUUUUGCGUAUUUUUAAUCAACCGUAACCGGUUAAUUGCAUUGUAAUUCAAGCGGUGGCAGAAAGCGCGGUUUUUUUCGGUAUCGCAGCUGCAGCUGGUUGAGAGCCGCGCCCACUCUGGCAAAACAUACAAAUAGCCGGCUCGCGCAACGCGCAAUAUACAUUUUUCCGUGCUCCGUCCACCUGCUACAGGGUCUCAGGUAAACUCAGGCUACCCUGAGCCUGAGCAGCAUGAGAAGCGGGAGUUCUGCGUGUCUGUUGUGCGCCAGAACGCGUAUGUGAGCGAUUGAAGCUGUCCAUUCACCUUCUUCCCGAUGUUUAUGACGGAGAUGUGACAGGUGGACACCGUCAUACAGAUAUUUUGGUUUGAACGGGCGUGAGGUUCAGCGCAGUUCAGCGGCAGAAGAAUUAUUUAUGCGGAAGAAAUCGGCCUCCGAUGUACCCUCCGAACUUGAUUAUGUAUUAAUAUAAAUUGCACCGAAUUAACUAUGCUAAUUUUUUCUGUAUUUUAAAUUACAAAUUGGUGUUUCAAAUUUUUAA
This is a long non-coding RNA of Cloeon dipterum, 878 nucleotides long. RefSeq lists it as uncharacterized. The transcript is spliced from 2 exons. The record is from RefSeq and is a predicted model, not a curated record. Lineage: Eukaryota; Metazoa; Arthropoda; Insecta; Ephemeroptera; Baetidae.